UCUCGAUCUCCUGACCUCGUGAUCCGCCCGCCUUGGCCUCCCAAAGUGCUAGAAUUACAGGCAUGAACCACCACGCCCAGCCCAGUCUCAUCUCUUAAUGACGCCUCCUUCUGCCCAUCUUCACAUCACUAACAACAAUAUUGCUCAACCACCUCACUGGGUCUUGUUUCUGUUUUAAAAAACCUUUCAAACUGUAUUACCUUCAAGAAUAAGUUCAAGUGUGUUAACCUGGCCUUGAAGAUCCUUCACAAUUACAUCCUCCCUGACCAUAUCCUCCUCUCUUCCCUCAAACCUUCCCAAAUCUUUUCAGCAUAAACUUACCAUCAGUUCAGAUAGGUUAGUGCCACACACCUGCAAAUAAGUCCUCCCCCACUGUAAAUACUCUCCUUUAAGGUGGGCUGAAUUCCUACCUCCCGGAAAGUUAGUUACCUUGUCAUAACAUGUUGAAUUUUUAAUAUCCUGGAUUCCCUCAAUAGUCUUUACCACCUGUAUUGUUUUCAACCCUUAACCUUAAGCUUUGUCUCUACCUAAGUCAAAAACAUCUGGAGACUUAACACUAUACAGUACUAUGGAACAAAAUACAAAUGCCUCUUUAAGAAAUACCAAAUAAAGGCCAGACGUGGUGGCUCACGCCUGUAAUCUAGAGACCUAACACCAUACAGUACUAUGGAACAAAAUACAAAUGCCUUUUUAAGAAAUACCAAAUAAAGGCCAGGCAUGUUGGCUCACGCCUGUAAUCCCAGCACUUUGGGAGGCUGAGGCAGGAGAAUCGCUUGAACCCCG
Molecule: long non-coding RNA, 783 nt
Filed under: Homo sapiens (human)
Lineage: Eukaryota; Metazoa; Chordata; Mammalia; Primates; Hominidae
Description: HSALNT0126335
Source: RNAcentral